RNAcentral lists this ribosomal RNA (546 nucleotides) under uncultured Glomeromycotina. RNAcentral's name for it is "SSU rRNA". It matches the Rfam family "Eukaryotic small subunit ribosomal RNA", at positions 548 to 1098 of the family's 1831-position model. The record is from RNAcentral. Lineage: Eukaryota; Fungi; Glomeromycota.
UUGGAGGGCAGUCUGGUGCCAGCAGCCGCGGUAAUUCCAGCUCCAUAGCGUAUAUUAAAGUUGUUGCAGUUAAAAAGCUCGUAGUUGAACUUCGGGAUCAAGGAAUCGGUCAUGCCUUGGUAUGCACUGGUUUUAUUGGUUCUCACCUUCUAAAGAACCAUAAUGUCAUUCAUUUGAUGUUAUGGGGAAUUAGGACUGUUACCUUGAAAAAAUUAGAGUGUUUAAAGCAAGCUUACGCUUGAAUACAUUAGCAUGGAAUAAUGAAAUAGGACAUCCGAUUCUAUUUUGUUGGUUUCUAGGAUCGAUGUAAUGAUUAAUAGGGAUAGUUGGGGGCAUUAGUAUUCAAUUGUCAGAGGUGAAAUUCUUGGAUUUAUUGAAGACUAACUACUGCGAAAGCAUUUGCCAAGGAUGUUUUCAUUAAUCAAGAACGAAAGUUAGGGGAUCGAAGACGAUCAGAUACCGUCGUAGUCUUAACCAUAAACUAUGCCGACUAGGGAUCGGAUGAUGUUAAUUUUAUAAUGACUCAUUCGGCGCCUUACGGGAAAC